Long non-coding RNA from Limulus polyphemus (Atlantic horseshoe crab), 650 nucleotides. RefSeq lists it as uncharacterized. The transcript is spliced from 2 exons. The record is from RefSeq and is a predicted model, not a curated record. Lineage: Eukaryota; Metazoa; Arthropoda; Merostomata; Xiphosura; Limulidae.
UCAAUUGUUCUUUUUCUGUAUUCUCAAAAUUAAACAUGAAUCUUUUUAAUUUCAGCUAUCUUGUGCUCCUCUCUUGAGCCCCUUCAUCUUCUUUUAAGACACAGGUGUGACUUGGAAUGUAAGAAUGGCCCACCUGGAACUUACCUUCUCACUGCUAUAAAGAAUGUGACAUCUCUAGAAUGCUUGCUGAAACAUGGAGCUGACCCUGGUUUACUGGUUACUCAUGGGUUGAACCCAGAAACUCUAGUUACAGCCUUAUUUAAAAGUCAGCCCCAGCAAGAUCAUGUUAUUAAAAUUCUCAAGAUGUUACGUCGGUAUGGAAUUACAUCUUCUGCUUUCAGACAGGCUGCUCACACUUCAUGUAUUCGUAGUAGAGAGCUGUUUAGUAGUUUACAUGAUGAAACAAUUUGGACUGAUUUAUUACUUGAAUUGGAUUCGCCCAAUACUCUAGCAGAAAUUUGUAGGUUUCAUGUCCGGGACAUGAUGUUCCAGAUCUAUGGACCAAGCUUCCAUGAACAGUUUAAAAAACUGAUGAUACCCAUUCCAGUGAUCCAAUUUCUCACCCAUGCAGAUGGAAUUUAAUUGUACCUAUUUUUGCUUGUUUGUAUUUAUGUGAAAUAAAAAUAUUUGUUCACUGUGUUUAUAAAUUC